GAGGUAGUGACGAAAAAUAACGAUACGGGACUCAUCCGAGGCCCCGUAAUCGGAAUGAGAACAUUCUAAACCUUUUAACGAGGAUCAAUUGGAGGGUAAGUCUGGUGCCAGCAGCCGCGGUAAUUCCAGCUCCAAUAGCGUAUAUUAAAGUUGUUGCGGUUAAAAAGCUCGUAGUCGGAUGUGUGUCCCGCGCCGUUGGUUCAUCGCUCGCGGUGUCAACUGGCGUGUAUCGCGGGACGUCCGGCCGGUGGGCGCGUGUGUCGCCUUGGUGGCGCGCGGCCCUGCUCGUCGCCGUCUUGCACGGUGGCGAAUCCCAUCGCGGUGCUCUUUACUGAGUGUCGAGGUGGGCCGGCACGUUUACUUUGAACAAAUUAGAGUGCUUAAAGCGGGCCAAGUUUGCCUGAAUAUUCUGUGCAUGGAAUAAUGGAAUAGGACCUCGGUUCUAUUUUGUUGGUUUUCGGAACCCCGAGGUAAUGAUUAAAAGGAACGGAUGGGGGCAUUCGUAUUGCGACGUUAGAGGUGAAAUUCUUGGAUCGUCGCAAGACGGACAGAAGCGAAAGCAUUUGCCAAAAACGCUUUCAUUGAUCAAGAACGAAAGUUAGAGGCUCGAAGGCGAUCAGAUACCGCCCUAGUUCUAACCAUAAACGAUGCCAGCUAGCGAUCCGCCGAUGUUCCUCCGAUGACUCGGCGGGCAGCUUUCGGGAAACCAAAGCUUUUGGGUUCCGGGGGAAGUAUGGUUGCAAAGCUGAAACUUAAAGGAAUUGACGGAAGGGCACCACCAGGAGUGGAGCCUGCGGCUUAAUUUGACUCAACACGGGACACCUCACCAGGCCCGAGCACCGGAAGGAUUGACAGAUUGAGAGCUCUUUCUUGAUUCGGUGGGUGGUGGUGCAUGGCCA
RNAcentral lists this ribosomal RNA (899 nucleotides) under Dorylocratus sp. JP-2017. RNAcentral describes it as "bacterial SSU rRNA". It matches the Rfam family "Eukaryotic small subunit ribosomal RNA", at positions 461 to 1290 of the family's 1831-position model. Lineage: Eukaryota; Metazoa; Arthropoda; Insecta; Coleoptera; Staphylinidae. The record is from RNAcentral.